RNAcentral lists this ribosomal RNA (661 nucleotides) under Nocardia sp. RNAcentral's name for it is "bacterial SSU rRNA". It matches the Rfam family "Bacterial small subunit ribosomal RNA", at positions 82 to 757 of the family's 1533-position model. The record is from RNAcentral. Lineage: Bacteria; Bacillati; Actinomycetota; Actinomycetes; Mycobacteriales; Nocardiaceae.
UCGGGGUACACGAGCGGCGAACGGGUGAGUAACACGUGGGUGAUCUGCCUCGUACUUCGGGAUAAGCCUGGGAAACUGGGUCUAAUACCGGAUAUGACCUUCGGAUGCAUGUCUGAGGGUGGAAAGAUUUAUCGGUACGAGAUGGGCCCGCGGCCUAUCAGCUUGUUGGUGGGGUAAUGGCCUACCAAGGCGACGACGGGUAGCCGGCCUGAGAGGGCGACCGGCCACACUGGGACUGAGACACGGCCCAGACUCCUACGGGAGGCAGCAGUGGGGAAUAUUGCACAAUGGGCGAAAGCCUGAUGCAGCGACGCCGCGUGAGGGAUGACGGCCUUCGGGUUGUAAACCUCUUUCGACAGGGACGAAGCGCAAGUGACGGUACCUGUAGAAGAAGCACCGGCCAACUACGUGCCAGCAGCCGCGGUAAUACGUAGGGUGCGAGCGUUGUCCGGAAUUACUGGGCGUAAAGAGCUUGUAGGCGGUUCGUCGCGUCGUUCGUGAAAACUUGGGGCUCAACCCCAAGCUUGCGGGCGAUACGGGCGGACUAGAGUACUUCAGGGGAGACUGGAAUUCCUGGUGUAGCGGUGAAAUGCGCAGAUAUCAGGAGGAACACCGGUGGCGAAGGCGGGUCUCUGGGAAGUAACUGACGCUGAGAAGCGAA